RNAcentral lists this long non-coding RNA (1276 nucleotides) under Numida meleagris (helmeted guineafowl). Its description in RNAcentral is "lncRNA (ENSNMEG00000006395.1)". The record is from RNAcentral. Lineage: Eukaryota; Metazoa; Chordata; Aves; Galliformes; Numididae.
GGUUGGGUUGGGUUGGGUUGGGUUGGAAGGGUCUUUAAAGAUCACAGAACCAUAGCAUGGUAGGGUUGAAAGUGUCCUUCAAGAUCAUAGAGCUAUGGCAUGGUUGCAGUGGCAGAGUCCUGAAUGGUCACAGAAGCAUGGAAUGGUUGGGUUGGGUUGGGUUGGGUUGGAAGGGUCCUUAAAGAUCACAAAACCCCAAAAUGGGUUCCAUAGAAAAGAUGCUUAAUGGUCACAAAUCCACAGCAUGGAUUAGGUUGGAAGGGUCCUUAAAGAUCAGAGAACCCCAGAAUGGGUUAGGUUGGGAGGGUCCUUAAAGACCACAGAACCACGGCAUCGUUGGGUUGGAAGGGUCCUGAAAGAUCACAGAGCUAUGGAAGGGUUGCAGUGGGAGGGACCUGAAUGGUCACAGAAGCAUGGAGUGGUUGGGUUGGGUUGGGUUGGAAGGGUCCUUAAAGAUCACAGAACCACAGAAUGGAUUGGGUUGGAAGGGUCCUUAAAGAUCUCAGAACCACAGAAUGAAUUGUGUUGGAAGGGUCCUUAAAGAUCUUAGAACCACAGAAUGGGUUGGGUUGGAAGGGUCCUUACAGUUCACUGAACCAUAGCAUGGUAGGGUUGGAAGGGUCUUUCAAGAUCAUAGAGCUGUGGAAGGGUUGCAGUGGCAGGGACCUGAAUGGUCACAGAAGCAUGGAAUGGUUGGGUUGGGUUGGGUUGGGUUGGAAGGGUCUUUAAAGAUCACAGAACCACAGAAUGGAUUGGGUUGGAAGGGUCCUUAAAGAUCACAGAACCAUAGCAUGGUAGGGUUGAAAGGGUCCUUCAAGAUCAUAGAGCUAUGGCAUGGUUGCAGUGGCAGGGUCUUGAACGGUCACAGAAGCAUGGAAUGGUUGGGUUGGGUUGGGUUGGGUUGGGUUGGGUUGGAAGGGUCCUUAAAGAUCUUAGAGCUAUGGCAUGGUUGCAGUGGCAGGGUCUUGAAUGGUCACAGAAGCAUGAAAUGGUUGGGUUGGGUUGGGUUGGGUUGGGUUGGGUUGGGUUGGAAGGGUCCUUACAGAUCACAGAGCCGUGGAGUGGUUGGGUCGGGUUGGCUUGGCUUGGAAGGGCAUCGCCGCCCCUCUCCGUCCCCAACCGCAGCUCCCUGUGUGCCGCAGCAUGAACGUCGGCGUGGAGGACGCGACGUCGUCGGCCAGCGUCACGCUCCUGGUGCAGCCGCACACCACCAUCGCGGCGCUCAAGCAGCAGCCGGCAGACACACGGACAUCGGUGACAUCAGCCAGCACCUGGA